UACACUCCUGCGGGAGGCAGCAGUGGGGAAUAUUGCACAAUGGGCGCAAGCCUGAUGCAGCCAUGCCGCGUGUAUGAAGAAGGCCUUCGGGUUGUAAAGUACUUUCAGCGGGGAGGAAGGCGAUAAGGUUAAUAACCUUGUCGAUUGACGUUACCCGCAGAAGAAGCACCGGCUAACUCCGUGCCAGCAGCCGCGGUAAUACGGAGGGUGCAAGCGUUAAUCGGAAUUACUGGGCGUAAAGCGCACGCAGGCGGUCUGUCAAGUCGGAUGUGAAAUCCCCGGGCUCAACCUGGGAACUGCAUUCGAAACUGGCAGGCUAGAGUCUUGUAGAGGGGGGUAGAAUUCCAGGUGUAGCGGUGAAAUGCGUAGAGAUCUGGAGGAAUACCGGUGGCGAAGGCGGCCCCCUGGACAAAGACUGACGCUCAGGUGCGAAAGCGUGGGGAGCAAACAGGAUUAGAAACCCGAGUAGUCCC
Molecule: ribosomal RNA, 473 nt
Filed under: uncultured organism
Description: partial 16S ribosomal RNA
Rfam family: Bacterial small subunit ribosomal RNA
Source: RNAcentral